RNAcentral lists this ribosomal RNA (667 nucleotides) under Bifidobacterium cuniculi. RNAcentral's name for it is "bacterial SSU rRNA". It matches the Rfam family "Bacterial small subunit ribosomal RNA", at positions 63 to 726 of the family's 1533-position model. The record is from RNAcentral. Lineage: Bacteria; Bacillati; Actinomycetota; Actinomycetes; Bifidobacteriales; Bifidobacteriaceae.
CGAACGGGAUCCGGCCAAGCUUGCUUGGCUGGUGAGAGUGGCGAACGGGUGAGUAAUGCGUGACCAACCUGCCUCAUGCACCGGGAUAGCUCCUGGAAACGGGUGGUAAUACCGGAUGUUCCACAUGAUCGCAUGUGAUUGUGGGAAAGGCUUUUUGCGGCAUGGGAUGGGGUCGCGUCCUAUCAGCUUGUUGGUGGGGUGAUGGCCUACCAAGGCUUUGACGGGUAGCCGGCCUGAGAGGGCGACCGGCCACAUUGGGACUGAGAUACGGCCCAGACUCCUACGGGAGGCAGCAGUGGGGAAUAUUGCACAAUGGGCGCAAGCCUGAUGCAGCGACGCCGCGUGCGGGAUGGAGGCCUUCGGGUCGUAAACCGCUUUUGUUCACGAGCAAGGCAUCCUUUCGGGGGUGUUGAGUGUAGUGUUCGAAUAAGCACCGGCUAACUACGUGCCAGCAGCCGCGGUAAUACGUAGGGUGCGAGCGUUAUCCGGAUUUAUUGGGCGUAAAGGGCUCGUAGGCGGUUCGUCGCGUCUGGUGUGAAAGCCCAUCGCUUAACGGUGGGUCUGCGCCGGGUACGGGCGGGCUGGAGUGCGGUAGGGGAGACUGGAAUUCCCGGUGUAACGGUGGAAUGUGUAGAUAUCGGGAAGAACACCAAUGGCGAAGGCAGGU